RNAcentral lists this ribosomal RNA (430 nucleotides) under uncultured soil bacterium. RNAcentral's name for it is "bacterial SSU rRNA". It matches the Rfam family "Bacterial small subunit ribosomal RNA", at positions 26 to 470 of the family's 1533-position model. The record is from RNAcentral.
AGAUUGAACGCUGGCGGCAGGCCUAACACAUGCAAGUCGAGCGGUAACAGGGGUAGCUUGCUACCCGCUGACGAGCGGCGGACGGGUGAGUAACGCGUAGGAAUCUACCCGGUAGUUGGGGAUAGCCCGGAGAAAUCCGGGAUUAAUACCGAAUAAUCUCUACGGAGGAAAGGGGGCUUCGGCUCUCGCUACUGGAUGAGCCUGCGUCGGAUUAGCUAGUUGGUGGGUAAAGCCUACCAAGGCGACGAUCCGUAGCUGGUCUGAGAGGAUGAUCAGCCACACUGGGACUGAGACACGGCCCAGACUCCUACGGGAGCAGCAGUGGGAAUAUUGGACAAUGGGGGCAACCUGAUCCAGCAUGCCGCGUGUGUGAAGAAGGCCUUCGGUGUAAGCUACUUCAGUGGGAGGAAGGGUAGAGUGUAAGUACCGU